GGCAUGUGUGAGUUGGCUGACUGUACUCCAAAGUGGGGCUUCGACAUAAAGAUUUAAGCAUUUCCGAGUUAAAUGAUACCAGCUACCACAGUGUA
RNAcentral lists this microRNA precursor (95 nucleotides) under Mus musculus (house mouse). Its description in RNAcentral is "predicted gene, 55639 (ENSMUSG00002075608.1)". The record is from RNAcentral. Lineage: Eukaryota; Metazoa; Chordata; Mammalia; Rodentia; Muridae.